CACCGCAGAACAAUCACACACACCAAGAAUACAGAGCCCUGCAUCCCCUUUGCACAAAAGCCUGCUGCUUCCCGCCGCCACCACCAGCUCCUGCCACUUCCAUCUCCCAGAGUUCUCCUGAAUCCACGCACCCUCUCCAUCCCAACAGCCACCGCCUCGUCCAAAGCACUGUCAUCGCCCACCGGGCAGUCGGCUUCCGACCCAUUUA
RNAcentral lists this unclassified non-coding RNA (208 nucleotides) under uncultured bacterium. RNAcentral's name for it is "contains 16S-23S intergenic spacer region". The record is from RNAcentral.